GACCAGCUCAGCUGCUUAGCAGGUA
Molecule: non-coding RNA, 25 nt
Filed under: Mus musculus (house mouse)
Lineage: Eukaryota; Metazoa; Chordata; Mammalia; Rodentia; Muridae
Source: RNAcentral